RNAcentral lists this small RNA (531 nucleotides) under Fusarium chlamydosporum. RNAcentral's name for it is "eukaryotic LSU rRNA". The stretch from base 152 to 305 matches the Rfam family "5.8S ribosomal RNA". Lineage: Eukaryota; Fungi; Ascomycota; Sordariomycetes; Hypocreales; Nectriaceae. The record is from RNAcentral.
GGGGAAUCGAGUAUCACUCCCCACCCCUGUGACAUACCUAUACGUUGCCUCGGCGGAUCAGCCCGCGCCCCGUAAAAAGGGACGGCCCGCCCGAGGACCCCUAAACUCUGUUUUUAGUGGAACUUCUGAGUAAAACAAACAAAUAAAUCAAAACUUUCAACAACGGAUCUCUUGGUUCUGGCAUCGAUGAAGAACGCAGCAAAAUGCGAUAAGUAAUGUGAAUUGCAGAAUUCAGUGAAUCAUCGAAUCUUUGAACGCACAUUGCGCCCGCCAGUAUUCUGGCGGGCAUGCCUGUCCGAGCGUCAUUUCAACCCUCAAGCUCAGCUUGGUGUUGGGACUCGCGGUAACCCGCGUUCCCCAAAUCGAUUGGCGGUCACGUCGAGCUUCCAUAGCGUAGUAAUCAUACACCUCGUUACUGGUAAUCGUCGCGGCCACGCCGUAAAACCCCAACUUCUGAAUGUUGACCUCGGAUCAGGUAGGAAUACCCGCUGAACUUAAGCAUAUCAUAAACCCGGAAGGAAAAGGUGGAAG